UACGUAGGGUCCGAGCGUUGUCCGGAUUUAUUGGGCGUAAAGAGCUCGUAGGCGGUUCCGUAAGUCAGAUGUGAAAACUCAGGGCUCAACCCGGAGACGCCAUCUGAUACUGCGGUGACUGGAGUCUGGUAGGGGAACACGGAAUUCCUGGUGUAGCGGUGAAAUGCGCAGAUAUCAGGAGGAACACCGAUGGCGAAGGCAGUGUUCUGGGCCGAUACUGACGCUGAGGAGCGAAAGCGUGGGGAGCAAACAGG
This 254-nucleotide ribosomal RNA is filed under the name uncultured bacterium. RNAcentral's name for it is "partial 16S ribosomal RNA". It matches the Rfam family "Bacterial small subunit ribosomal RNA", at positions 524 to 776 of the family's 1533-position model. The record is from RNAcentral.